GCACCACAAGAACGCGUGGAGCAUGUGGCUUAAUUUGACUCAACGCGGGAAAUCUUACCGGGUCCGGACACACUGAGGAUUGACAGGCAAUAUAUGUGACUCUUCGGAGUUUGCAUUGUUAAAUAUGCUAGUCCUUUCAUGAUUAUGUGAUAGGUGGUGCAUGGCCGUUCUUAGUUCGUGGAGUGAUCUGUCUGCUUAAUUGCGUUUCAAAUUACUUAUAAGGUAGCAAUACGCGAUGAAGCUUUCAAUAGUCCUCACGGAUUCACUUGAGUCUCUCGCUUCGCUAUCCUUUCGAAUGCAACGAACGUGACCGCAACCUCUUGUUGCCUUCGUUUAACAUCCUGCAGUCCUGUGGGUACUGAGGGCUUCACUCGGUGACUUUGGGCUGAGCAAUCGGUCU
This 400-nucleotide ribosomal RNA is filed under the name Globigerinita uvula. RNAcentral's name for it is "bacterial SSU rRNA". It matches the Rfam family "Eukaryotic small subunit ribosomal RNA", at positions 1164 to 1402 of the family's 1831-position model. Lineage: Eukaryota; Foraminifera; Rotaliida; Globigerinitidae. The record is from RNAcentral.